GAUUCAAUGGUGUAGAGGUAUCAUGGGCGCUUGCCAUUCCAGUAAUGUGCGCCCGACCCGGGUUCGAUUCCCGGUUGAAUCA
RNAcentral lists this transfer RNA (82 nucleotides) under Choiromyces venosus 120613-1. It matches the Rfam family "tRNA". Rfam says of the family: Transfer RNA (tRNA) molecules are approximately 80 nucleotides in length. Their secondary structure includes four short double-helical elements and three loops (D, anti-codon, and T loops). Lineage: Eukaryota; Fungi; Ascomycota; Pezizomycetes; Pezizales; Tuberaceae. The record is from Rfam by way of RNAcentral.